UACGGAGGGUGCAAACGUUGCUCGGAAUCAUUGGGCGUAAAGCGCACGUAGGCGGCGCGUCAAGUCGGGUGUGAAAGCCCUGGGCUCAACCCAGGAAGUGCAUUCGAAACUGGCGCGCUUGAAUAUGGAAGAGGGUCGCGGAAUUCCCGGUGUAGAGGUGAAAUUCGUAGAUAUCGGGAGGAACACCAGUGGCGAAGGCGGCGACCUGGGCCAAUAUUGACGCUGAGGUGCGAAAGCGUGGGGAGCAAACAGG
Molecule: ribosomal RNA, 253 nt
Filed under: uncultured bacterium
Lineage: Bacteria
Description: partial 16S ribosomal RNA
Rfam family: Bacterial small subunit ribosomal RNA
Source: RNAcentral